This 371-nucleotide ribosomal RNA is filed under the name uncultured organism. RNAcentral's name for it is "bacterial SSU rRNA". It matches the Rfam family "Bacterial small subunit ribosomal RNA", at positions 526 to 896 of the family's 1533-position model. The record is from RNAcentral.
CAGAGGGUGCAAGCGUUAAUCGGAAUUACUGGGCGUAAAGCGUGCGUAGUCGGCCAUUCAAGUCGGGUGUGAAAGCCCCGGGCUCAACCUGGGAAUUGCAUUCGAUACUGUGUGGCUAGAGUUCGGCAGAGGGAAGUGGAAUUUCCGGUGUAGCGGUGAAAUGCGUAGAUAUCGGAAGGAACAUCAGUGGCGAAAGCGACUUCCUGGACCAGAACUGACGAUCAGGCACGAAAGCGUGGGGAGCAAACAGGAUUAGAUACCCUGGUAGUCCACGCCAUAAACGAUGAGGACUAGACGUUGGGAGGGUAAGCCUUCCAGUGUCGCAGCUAACGCGUUAAGUCCUCCGCCUGGGGAGUACGGCCGCAAGGUUG